GACGGGACCGCACAAGCGGUGAUGAUGUGUUUAAUUCGAUGCAACGCGAAAACCUUACCCACCUUUGACAUGUACGGAAUCCUUUAGAGAUAGAGGAGUGCUCGAAAGAGAGCCGUAACACAGGUGCUGCAUGGCUGUCGUCAGCUCGUGUCGUGAGAUGUUGGGUUAAGUCCCGCAACGAGCGCAACCCUUGUCAUUAGUUGCUACAUUCAGUUGGGCACUCUAAUGAGACUGCCGGUGACAAACCGGAGGAAGGUGGGGAUGACGUCAAGUCCUCAUGGCCCUUAUAGGUGGGGCUACACACGUCAUACAAUGGAUGGUACAAAGGGUCGCCAACCCGCGAGGGGGAGCCAAUCCCAUAAAGCCAUUCGUAGUCCGGAUCGCAGUCUGCAACUCGACUGCGUGAAGUCGGAAUCGCUAGUAAUCGUGGAUCAGAAUGUCACGGUGAAUACGUUCCCGGGUCUU
Molecule: ribosomal RNA, 465 nt
Filed under: uncultured Acidovorax sp.
Lineage: Bacteria; Pseudomonadati; Pseudomonadota; Betaproteobacteria; Burkholderiales; Comamonadaceae
Description: bacterial SSU rRNA
Rfam family: Bacterial small subunit ribosomal RNA
Source: RNAcentral